This 403-nucleotide ribosomal RNA is filed under the name uncultured bacterium. Its description in RNAcentral is "partial 16S ribosomal RNA". It matches the Rfam family "Bacterial small subunit ribosomal RNA", at positions 30 to 526 of the family's 1533-position model. The record is from RNAcentral.
AUUGAACGCUGGCGGCAGGCCUAACACAUGCAAGUCGAGCGAGCGGCGGACGGGUGAGUAAUGUAUGGGGACUGCCCGAUAGAGGGGGAUAACUCCUGGACACGGUAGCUAAUACCGCAUACUAUCGGAUAACCCAUAUGGGAUUAGCUAGUAGGUGAGGUAAUGGCUCACCUAGGCGACGAUACCUAUCUGGUUUGAGAGGACGACCAGCCACACUGGGACUGAGACACGGCCCAGACUCCUACGGAGGCAGCAGUGGGGAAUUUUGGACAAGGGGGAAAACCCUGAUCCAGCCAUCCCGCGUGUAUGAUGAAGGCCUUCGGGUUGUAAAGUACUUUUGGCAGAGAAGCGGUAUCUGCAGAAUAAGCACCGGCUAACUACGUGCCAGCCGCCGCGGUAAUAC